Molecule: non-coding RNA, 109 nt
Organism: Acanthosepion pharaonis
Lineage: Eukaryota; Metazoa; Mollusca; Cephalopoda; Sepiida; Sepiidae
Source: the annotation of a GenBank genome assembly
UAUGGCCAUAUAACGUUGAAAUACCGGUUCUCGUCUGAUCACCGAAGUUAAGCAACGUUGUACCUGGUCAUUACCUAGGUGACCGCAGGAGAAUACCAGGUGUUGUAAG